CACGUAGUUAGCCGGAGCUUCCUCCUCUGCUACCGUCAUUAUCUUCACAGAGGACAGAGGUUUACAAUCCGAAAACCGUCUUCUCUCACGCGGCGUUGCUGGUUCAGGGUUUCCCCCAUUGACCAAUAUCCCUCACUGCUGCCUCCCGUAGGAGUCUGGGCCGUGUCUCAGUCCCAAUGUGGCCGUUCAACCUCUCAGUCCGGCUACCGAUCGUCGGCUUGGUGGGCCGUUGCCCCGCCAACUACCUAAUCGGACGCGAGCCCAUCUUUCAGCGGAUUGCUCCUUUGAUUAUCAAGCCAUGCAGCUCAAUAAUAUCAUGCGGUAUUAGCGUUCGUUUCCAAACGUUAUCCCCCUCUGAAAGGCAGGUUGCUCACGCGUUACUCACCCGUCCGCCACUAAGAUAUCCAAGAAUCAUUACCGAAGUACUUCAUCAGCGGAUAUCUCCGUUCGACUUGCAUGUGUUAGGCACGCCGCCAGCGUGUCCUGAG
Molecule: ribosomal RNA, 488 nt
Filed under: uncultured Oscillospiraceae bacterium
Lineage: Bacteria; Bacillati; Bacillota; Clostridia; Eubacteriales; Oscillospiraceae
Description: partial 16S ribosomal RNA
Source: RNAcentral